This 2697-nucleotide ribosomal RNA is filed under the name Vibrio parahaemolyticus. RNAcentral describes it as "partial 23S ribosomal RNA". It matches the Rfam family "Bacterial large subunit ribosomal RNA". Lineage: Bacteria; Pseudomonadati; Pseudomonadota; Gammaproteobacteria; Vibrionales; Vibrionaceae. The record is from RNAcentral.
AACAUCUAAGUACCCCGAGGAAAAGAAAUCAACCGAGAUUCCGAAAGUAGCGGCGAGCGAAAUUGGACUAGCCCUUAAGCUUUACACGCGUUAGACGAACGGUCUGGAAAGUCCGACGAUACAGGGUGAUAGUCCCGUAGUUGACGACGUGUGUUCAGUGAAAUCGAGUAGGGCGGGACACGUGAUAUCCUGUCUGAAUAUGGGGGGACCAUCCUCCAAGGCUAAAUACUACUGACUGACCGAUAGUGAACCAGUACCGUGAGGGAAAGGCGAAAAGAACCCCUGUGAGGGGAGUGAAAUAGAACCUGAAACCGUGUACGUACAAGCAGUAGGAGCAGGCUUGUCCUGUGACUGCGUACCUUUUGUAUAAUGGGUCAGCGACUUAUAUUCAGUGGCAAGGUUAACCAUCUAGGGGAGCCGUAGGGAAACCGAGUCUUAACUGGGCGUUCAGUCUCUGGAUAUAGACCCGAAACCAGGUGAUCUAGCCAUGGGCAGGUUGAAGGUUGAGUAACAUCAACUGGAGGACCGAACCGACUAAUGUUGAAAAAUUAGCGGAUGACUUGUGGCUAGGGGUGAAAGGCCAAUCAAACCUGGAGAUAGCUGGUUCUCCCCGAAAGCUAUUUAGGUAGCGCCUCGGACGAAUACUACUGGGGGUAGAGCACUGUUAAGGCUAGGGGGUCAUCCCGACUUACCAACCCUUUGCAAACUCCGAAUACCAGUAAGUACUAUCCGGGAGACACACGGCGGGUGCUAACGUCCGUCGUGGAGAGGGAAACAACCCAGACCGCCAGCUAAGGUCCCAAAUUACUACUAAGUGGGAAACGAUGUGGGAAGGCUCAGACAGCCAGGAUGUUGGCUUAGAAGCAGCCAUCAUUUAAAGAAAGCGUAAUAGCUCACUGGUCGAGUCGGCCUGCGCGGAAGAUGUAACGGGGCUAAGUAGUAAACCGAAGCUGCGGCAAUGUGCUUUUGCACAUUGGGUAGGGGAGCGUUCUGUAAGCGGUUGAAGGUGUGUGGUAACGCAUGCUGGACGUAUCAGAAGUGCGAAUGCUGACAUGAGUAACGAUAAAGGGGGUGAAAAACCUCCUCGCCGGAAGACCAAGGGUUCCUGUCCAACGUUAAUCGGGGCAGGGUAAGUCGACCCCUAAGGCGAGGCCGAAAGGCGUAGUCGAUGGGAAACGGGUUAAUAUUCCCGUACUUCUUACAAUUGCGAUGGGGGGACGGAGAAGGCUAGGUGGGCCUGGCGACGGUUGUCCAGGUUCAAGUGCGUAGGCUUAAGAGUUAGGUAAAUCCGGCUCUUUUUAAGGCUGAGACACGACGUCGAGCACCUACGGGUGUGAAGUCAUUGAUGCCAUGCUUCCAGGAAAAGCCUCUAAGCUUCAGAUUGUAAGGAAUCGUACCCCAAACCGACACAGGUGGUCGGGUAGAGAAUACCAAGGCGCUUGAGAGAACUCGGGUGAAGGAACUAGGCAAAAUGGUACCGUAACUUCGGGAGAAGGUACGCUCUUGAUGGUGAAGUCCCUUGCGGAUGGAGCUGACGAGAGUCGCAGAUACCAGGUGGCUGCAACUGUUUAUUAAAAACACAGCACUGUGCAAAAUCGUAAGAUGACGUAUACGGUGUGACGCCUGCCCGGUGCCGGAAGGUUAAUUGAUGGGGUUAGACUUCGGUCGAAGCUCUUGAUCGAAGCCCCGGUAAACGGCGGCCGUAACUAUAACGGUCCUAAGGUAGCGAAAUUCCUUGUCGGGUAAGUUCCGACCUGCACGAAUGGCGUAAUGAUGGCCACGCUGUCUCCACCCGAGACUCAGUGAAAUUGAAAUCGCUGUGAAGAUGCAGUGUACCCGCGGCUAGACGGAAAGACCCCGUGAACCUUUACUACAGCUUGGCACUGAACAUUGACCCUACAUGUGUAGGAUAGGUGGGAGGCUUUGAAGCACGUACGCCAGUAUGUGUGGAGCCGUCCUUGAAAUACCACCCUUGUAGUGUUGAUGUUCUAACGUCGACCCCUUAUCGGGGUUGCGGACAGUGCCUGGUGGGUAGUUUGACUGGGGCGGUCUCCUCCCAAAGAGUAACGGAGGAGCACGAAGGUGGGCUAAUCACGGUUGGACAUCGUGAGGUUAGUGCAAUGGCAUAAGCCCGCUUGACUGCGAGAAUGACAAUUCGAGCAGGUGCGAAAGCAGGUCAUAGUGAUCCGGUGGUUCUGAAUGGAAGGGCCAUCGCUCAACGGAUAAAAGGUACUCCGGGGAUAACAGGCUGAUACCGCCCAAGAGUUCAUAUCGACGGCGGUGUUUGGCACCUCGAUGUCGGCUCAUCACAUCCUGGGGCUGAAGUCGGUCCCAAGGGUAUGGCUGUUCGCCAUUUAAAGUGGUACGCGAGCUGGGUUUAGAACGUCGUGAGACAGUUCGGUCCCUAUCUGCCGUGGGCGUUGGAAGAUUGAAGGGGGCUGCUCCUAGUACGAGAGGACCGGAGUGGACGAACCUCUGGUGUUCGGGUUGUGUCGCCAGACGCAUUGCCCGGUAGCUAAGUUCGGAAUCGAUAACCGCUGAAAGCAUCUAAGCGGGAAGCGAGCCCUGAGAUGAGUCUUCCCUGAUACUUUAAGUAUCCUAAAGGGUUGUCGGAGACUACGACGUUGAUAGGUCAGGUGUGUAAGUGCUGUGAGGCAUUGAGCUAACUGAUACUAAUUGCCCGUGAGGCUUAACCAU